GUAGCAGUGAUGAUGGUCACAUGACUGAAUAUGGACACAGAGAUGGACGUUCAUCUGCACAUCCUCAGUGUCUCAGGAGUCACAAUAAACACACUAAAUAAAGUCAUGAUUGUGUAACUCUAGUGUAUAUGAGUGUGUUGUCAGCACAAGCUGUUGUAAAUCCUGCCCACUUCUUUGCAUUGUCAGCACAUGCUUCAGUGCUCUGAGAGUGUUUAUAGUGCUGUGAGUUUAACACUUCAUGACUGAGAGCAGAACACACACACUCUUCAUCAUCACACAAGACUAAACUACAACUAUGAACAACAUCUGCAUCUUCAUCUGGACCAUUGCACUGUUUAUUCAAGAGUGUAGAGGACAGAUCACUGUAACUCAGAGUCCAUCAAUAUCAGCAGUUCAACCAGGAGAACAAGUCAGAAUAAACUGUAAAACCAGCAGUAAUGUGUUUAAUAAUAAUUUCUUAGCCUGGUACUCACAGAAACCUGGAGAAGCUCCUAAACUCCUGAUAUAUUAUGCAUCAACCCUUUAUUCUGGAACUCCAUCUAGAUUCAGUGGCAGUGGAUCUGGCAGUGAUUUUACUCUGAGCAUCAGUGGAGUCCAGACUGAAGAUACAGGAGAUUAUUACUGUCAGAGUGCACACUAUAUCAGUGGUAAAUGGGUGUUCACACAGUGAUAAAGAGUCGUACAAAAACCUCUGUCAGUCAGACGUCACAGUGACUGCACUGAUACAGCUGAGAGAAACUGCAGCUGCUGAUGGAGGAUCACACACUACACAAUAUCAAUGUCUAGCAAACUUUAUAAAGACUUUAAAGGUAAAUGUAAUAUAUGCUUUUCUGUGUCCGUGAUACAGAGUAAUUACUUAUUAA
Molecule: non-coding RNA, 863 nt
Organism: Pimephales promelas (fathead minnow)
Lineage: Eukaryota; Metazoa; Chordata; Actinopteri; Cypriniformes; Leuciscidae
Source: the annotation of a RefSeq genome assembly